RNAcentral lists this ribosomal RNA (498 nucleotides) under uncultured bacterium. RNAcentral's name for it is "partial 16S ribosomal RNA". It matches the Rfam family "Bacterial small subunit ribosomal RNA", at positions 28 to 507 of the family's 1533-position model. The record is from RNAcentral.
GACGAACGCUGGCGGCGUGCCUAAUACAUGCAAGUCGAGCGGACGAAUCGAAAGCUUGCUUUUGAUUCGUUAGCGGCGGACGGGUGAGUAACACGUGGGCAACCUGCCCUGUAGACGGGGAUAACAUCGAGAAAUCGGUGCUAAUACCGGAUAACACGAAAUGUCGCAUGAUGUUUCGUUGAAAGACGGCGCAAGCUGCCGCUACAGGAUGGGCCCGCGGCGCAUUAGCUAGUUGGUGAGGUAACGGCUCACCAAGGCGACGAUACGUAGCCGACCUGAGAGGGUGAUCGGCCACACUGGGACUGAGACACGGCCCAGACUCCUACGGGAGGCAGCAGUAGGGAAUCUUCCGCAAUGGGCGAAAGACUGACGGAGCAACGCCGCGUGAGCGAAGAAGGCCUUCGGGUCGUAAAGCUCUGUUGUUAGGGAAGAACAAGUAACGCAGUAACUAGCGUUGCCGUGACGGUACCUAACGAGAAAGCCACGGCUAACUACGUG